UUGAUAUUUUCGUGCACACGAUAGAUGC
RNAcentral lists this small RNA (28 nucleotides) under Bombyx mori (domestic silkworm). Its description in RNAcentral is "ovarian small RNA-37730". The record is from RNAcentral. Lineage: Eukaryota; Metazoa; Arthropoda; Insecta; Lepidoptera; Bombycidae.